CCUACGGGAGGCAGCAGUGGGGAAUAUUGCACAAUGGGCGCAAGCCUGAUGCAACCAUGCCGCGUGUGUGAAGAAGGCCUUCGGGUUGUAAAGCACUUUCAGCGGGGAGGAAGGCGUUAAGGUUAAUAACCUUGGCGAUUGACGUUACCCGCAGAAGAAGCACCGGCUAACUCCGUGCCAGCAGCCGCGGUAAUACGGAGGGUGCAAGCGUUAAUCGGAAUUACUGGGCGUAAAGCGCACGCAGGCGGUCUGUCAAGUCGGAUGUGAAAUCCCCGGGCUCAACCUGGGAACUGCAUUCGAAACUGGCAGGCUAGAGUCUUGUAGAGGGGGGUAGAAUUCCAGGUGUAGCGGUGAAAUGCGUAGAGAUCUGGAGGAAUACCGGUGGCGAAGGCGGCCCCCUGGACAAAGACUGACGCUCAGGUGCGAAAGCGUGGGGAGCAAACAGGAUUAGAUACCCGGGUAGUC
This 465-nucleotide ribosomal RNA is filed under the name uncultured Klebsiella sp. RNAcentral describes it as "bacterial SSU rRNA". It matches the Rfam family "Bacterial small subunit ribosomal RNA", at positions 338 to 795 of the family's 1533-position model. The record is from RNAcentral. Lineage: Bacteria; Pseudomonadati; Pseudomonadota; Gammaproteobacteria; Enterobacterales; Enterobacteriaceae.